GGAUGAAUAAUGCCAAUUCCAAAGGUGUUCUACAGGAACGAUUUGCUUAUGGAGCACAAGCUGAACCCUAGUUGUGCAGCCCAUUAGCAGUAAACACUGUGGAAGGAAAUCCACAUCUCAGGGAGCUGACAGGUCUCCCAGUUGCCAGCACUGUGGAAUUCCUAAAACACCUCCCCCCCCCCCCCCCCCCCCCCCCGCAGAGAGAAUCACAACUGUGGUGAAGCCAUCAUUUUGCAGGAAGAUGAACUUUGAAAUGGAUGAGAGAGAACAGCCAAAGUUGAAGGUGUGUCUCCACGUGACUUCAUGCAACAGGAAAGCAAGAAGAAACUGAAGUUCAAAGAAGUUGCCGGGAUUCUUACAGGUGCAGAAACCCCUGACUUUUUAAAACAUGUGCAAGCUUUCCCUGUUCUUAGAUAAUGGCUAUGGUUUCAUGUAAACUUUCUGGGGUUUGAUCAAAAGAUAAACAUCCCUGAGUGACUUCUAUGGACUCUACUGUUUGAUACCCCACUGGUAAAGAGAAAAGAGGUCAAAGACAGCUCAUAAUGCUGAAGUGUUUACACC
This 561-nucleotide long non-coding RNA is filed under the name Capra hircus (goat). Its description in RNAcentral is "lncRNA (ENSCHIG00000007276.1)". Lineage: Eukaryota; Metazoa; Chordata; Mammalia; Artiodactyla; Bovidae. The record is from RNAcentral.